This 251-nucleotide ribosomal RNA is filed under the name uncultured bacterium. Its description in RNAcentral is "partial 16S ribosomal RNA". It matches the Rfam family "Bacterial small subunit ribosomal RNA", at positions 87 to 339 of the family's 1533-position model. The record is from RNAcentral.
UGGGAUCAGUGGCGAACGGGUGAGUAACACGUGAGCAACCUGCCCCUGACUCUGGGAUAAGCGCUGGAAACGGCGUCUAAUACUGGAUAUGUGACGUGAUCGCAUGGUCUGCGUCUGGAAAGAAUUUCGGUUGGGGAUGGGCUCGCGGCCUAUCAGCUUGUUGGUGAGGUAAUGGCUCACCAAGGCGUCGACGGGUAGCCGGCCUGAGAGGGUGACCGGCCACACUGGGACUGAGACACGGCCCAGACUCC